CGUCGCCGCUCCCGGCCGACCCCCGCCCCUUCCCGGAGCCCCGAUCUCGCUUUUAUCCCCACCCCGAGGUCCGCCCUGCCAGUCCAGAGCAGCUGGGAGACGAUUUGUUAGGCAACAGCGCGAGGCGAUCAGCUGCGAAGGGACGCGUCCGGCGCGCGAGGCUGCUAAUCCAGGUACGUCAGGCGCUUCCUGCGUUAGAGACGCUGGACUGAAUAAAGACAGGAGCGCGGGGCAGGCAGAGAGAAUUACGGCCGCUUAAGAAAAGACGCGACGCCUACCCAUCCUCGGGUGCUGUUCACUCGUGGGCGGGCAGCCCCACAGGUGUGCGGCUGCGGCUAAACCCGGGGAAUUGUUCUAGGGGGAAACUGCGGGGAGACGAGAGCUGCGUAGUGGUUUCGCUUUCGUUUCCGACGGGCUUGCUCUCCGUGUUCUUGGCGGAGGUCGUUUUGCAGCUCUGGUCUUAGUGGUCCUCUUUCUGUCGUCCUUCUUUCUUCCUGCUUCAAAUGGGCCUCUCGUUCGACAGGGAUGUGUAUUUCUUCCCUUCCCUCGGUAAAGAUGUUUGUUCCUGUGCGGCUAGGUAGUGCUGUUUUUGACGGGGGCGCGUUCUGCCCUGAUAGCACCGCUAUGAGGAUCUUAAUUUCAGGGUCGAGGGUUCGAGCCUCAUAUUGGACAAGGAGUUGGACUAGAUGACUCGUGGGAUCCCUUCCAACACUACAAUGCUAUGAUUCUACGUAACACUCCCCCUCCCGCUGCCAUCUUUCAUUUUGGCAGCCUUUGCAAGUCUCCACCUGUGACCUGUGUCCGUCUGAACUGCAGCUGUAUUGAUGUAUUCCUUUGCCUUUCUUCCAAAGAUCUCAUGGCCCUGCUAAUGGUUCAAAAUGUAAAUGGUUCACCCUCCAUUUUAUCAUCACAACAACCAGUGCUAUUUUUCUAGAAAAAGAGGUGUCGGUACUCAGUAUGAACGCCUCCUUUGCUCUCUUAAAAUGGCAAUGGCGCCCACCUGAGAGGUGCCGGAACUGAGUUCUGGAUAAAAGAAAGAAAGAAAACAACCUUGCAAGGUAGGUUAGGCUGAGAAGCGGUGAUUGGCCCAAGGUAACCCAGGGAGCUUCGUGGCUGUGUGGAUUUGAACCUAAGUCUGGAGUCUAACCACCACCUUUGUGUUAUCCCUCACCAUUGGUCACGCUGGUUGGGGCUAAUGGGAGUUGCAGUCCAUCAACAGCUGGAGUGCUACAGGUUCCUCAUCCCUGCUCUACACCUUCAAAUGCAUUGAAACCGCUUUCAGAACUUCUGUUGAAAUUGCCAAGAUCAGGAGGGGGUGGGCAGUGAGUACGAUCCUGCUCUGCCCUUGACCUGUUCACCCCAAUGGUGGGUGGUGGCGACACAUGUGGUGCACACCAAUCCCACUCCUAACCUGCAUGGGGGCUUUUUGGAGAAGCUUUGACACCUGUAUGCAGAUAGGAACAAAUAUCUUUCAGACAUUGCGCUGAACAUGAAGAAGUCGGGGUGGAAAAUCUUGACAAGUCACAAGAGGUUGUGAGAUGCCUUCCAAAUUGGACAGUAUUCAUAAUUUUUCUAUACCACUUCAUCAUUGCACAUUCUCUGCUUAUUAGCCCUGUCUUGUGCAGUAGGGUUCUCCUAUCCUUUGAGUGGUUCACGAGGCCACAGGGAAGUUGGGAAAGUAGGAAACUUGUCUGCUAUGGACUUGCAAAGUUAACUAACCUUAGGAUCUAAGUCACCUACUUGCUGAUUUCUGCCCAGACACUGAGGUCCAGCGCCGAGGGCCUUCUGGUGGUUCCCUCACUGCGAGAAGCUAAGCUACAGGGAACCAGGCAGAGGGCCUUCUCGGUAGUGGCGCCCGCCCUAUGGUACACCCUCCCAGCAAAUGUCAAAGAGAUAAACAACUACCUGACAUUUAGAAGACCUCUGAAGGCAGCCCUGUUCAGGGAAGUUUUUAAUGUGUGACAUUUUAAUGUAUUUUUAAUCUUUGUUGGAAGCCUCCAAGAGUGGCUGGGGAAACCCAGCCAGAUGGGCGGGGUACAAAUAAUAAAUUACUAUUACUAUUACCACAGUUGUAGGGUUUUUCUAGUUGGUGAAUAUUGCAGAUUUUGUAGUUGCAACAGCCCUACAGCAAAAUCAGCAUCAUGAUAGCUUGUGUUCAUAGAAUUAGGCUGAUGUGGUCAGCCUUGUUGCUGUCCUUGAAAUCUCCCUCCCUCCCUAAAUGCAGUCUAGAUGAGAGUUGCCUUAGUAGCACUGACGUAAUUGAUGCCAGGAAUUGAUGCCAGCAAAGCGUGGGGAAGGCUGAAGAGUUCAAAAAAGAACUGGAAAAAAUACUCCCUUUCACCUUUUGACCUAUAUCUUGCAUCAGUGUUCCUUGGUUCAUUGUACAAUGUAGGAAAUGCUUUCUGUCAUUUAAGUAAAAGGAAGGAAAACUAGCAGAAAGUAUUUCCUACAUUGUACAAAGAAAAAGGUGACGCAAUUUCUAAACUUCGUGUAAUCUAGAUCAUGUUAGUGUGAAACACACUUUUGCUCUGCUUUGGUUUUCUAGAGCAAAACAGAACAAAUUAGGCAGAUCCCGCCCCCCCCCCCUUUCACUGAUAUAUAAUCUUAGAUUGCAUGAUCAAUAAUUGCCCAGUGUUUUGUAGCCUGGAGAAAAGUUGGAAGUCAGUUUUAGGCAUCCAUGUGCAAGUGGGAACUUCUUUUUUCAAGAAAGCUCAAAACAAACACUGCAGCCCAACCCCCCUUUGGUGCCUCUGCCCAGCCCUGCCAGUUAAAAAAAACAAACUCUUUUGGAUAUCAGAUUGCAAAGUCCCAUUAACUUCAGUGGUACUUACUCAGUAAGAGCAGGCUCAGGAUAGCAGACUUACUUGUGUGUUUUCCAACGUUUUAAAAGAUCAUUAUAAUAAAUUUACUUGGAAUUGUGCUAAAAAUCAGAGUGCACAAGGCAGCCAACAAAAAAAAAAUGAGUUCAUCAUAGUAACAAAGAAAUGAAGAAUGUGGUAGCAAACAAGAACUGAUCGAGUCCUGGGUUUACAAGUCUAUUCAGUUAUAAUUAAUAUUGCAUCAUUUAGAUCUCCCGAUGGACAUUGGGUAACUGCAAUCCUGCCAGCAGUUUCCCACAGUAUCUGGGCAGGACCCAAGUAAAUGCAAGCACAUUUCAAGUCCUAAGGAAACCAGUAGGAAUGCCAAGCACAUUCUUAACCCUUUCCCACUGGAAUCCAUGGAGCUUAUUUUUUUUAAGGUGGAUCCCGUUAGGAUUUGUUUUGGCAUUUUGUUGAACGAGGAAGCUGUUGUGGUUUGGGGGGGUCUACAAAUUUGUGGCUUUUUCUUUUCAGCCUGUUUCUGUGAGUAGGUGACACCUCAUUGCGGGAUACUUUGCUGAAACUUGUUAGUCCUCAGCAUUCUCAAAUACCUCCUCCCCUGGCCAGGCUCUCUGCCUCGGGGACCACGUUGUCUUGGGUGCUGCUAGCACCUUCCAUCAGUGACCGUCAACACAGCCCUGCAAAAGCAUCAGGUUGAGUGACGGGAUGGAGCACUGGUGCUUGGAUGUGCAUCUUCCAGCCACAGCAUACAAGCAUGCCUGUCUGCCAUUCUGGCUAUGGGGCAGGAAAAGCUGGCAGGUGUUGGGCAGUGGUCCAUUAGGGCAAAUGGGGGCACUACCCCACCCACCUCAGUUUGCCUUCAAGCAAGCCUUCACCUGCCUAGCAUCUUACUUGCGACCAGUAAGGUUUGCCUGUCACUGACCCUGCCUCCAUCUAUUGCUUGUCUCCUUGCCUUCUGCCCUACAGUUCUAAUGGUACCAGCCACCAUUUUUGUGUUGUGUGGGCUUUUUCUGGGAGGGGGUGCAGUUUAUCUCUGUAUUGCAAAGGCUCUCUAGGUACCUCGGUCAUACACCUGCCAAAUGACAUCUAUCCUUCCUCCCAGUUCAGCAGCAUGUAUCUCCAUUUGUAACAAAAGAUUAAAAAAAUUGUAUAAAGUAAAUUCAGUUUGUAAUUAUUGUCUGAAUAAACUGUACUUGAAUAUACUAAAAACGAUAAUUUCAUGGCAGACCAUUUGGUGAAACUACGUGUUAAGUAAGGAGCACGAAAACUGCAAUUCUACUUCUUUCAGAAUUGCUGCUCUCAUACAUAAAAAGCAAAGGUAGUCAUGUUUGUCCAUAAGAAAACACUUCAAAGUUGGUCCAAACAUUUAUUAAAAGGUAAAGGGACCCCUGACCAUUAGGUCCAGUCGUGGCCGACUCUGGGGUUGCGGCACUCAUCUCGCUUUAUUGGCCGAGGGAGCUGGCGUACAGCUUCCGGGUCAUGUGGCCAGCAUGACUGAGCCGCUUCUGGCGAGCCAGAGCAGCGCAUGGAAACGCCGUUUACCUUCCCGCUGGAGCAGUACUUCUUAUCUACUUGCACUUUGACAUGCUUUCAAACUGCUAGGUUGGCAUGAGCAGGGACCGAGCAACGGGAGCUCACCCCGUCGUGGGGAUUCGAACCGCGACCUUCCGAUCGGCAAGUCCGAGGCUCUGUGGUUUAACCCACAGCACCACCUGCGUCCCUAAACAUUUAUUAGGCCAAUCAAAAUGUAACAAAAUUUGUGUUCUCCAGAACUAUUUUGUGACAUUAAAGGUAUGACCCAAUUGUGGAUUUGGGAGUUCCAUGCAGGCUUUAAAACAGGAAAUUUCUUCAUGAGCUAAGAGGAAAAUCUUCCAUACCAUGAAAUUCACUUGAAAGUGGGUUUUCAUGAAACCACAGUAGAUCUUGAUGGAAAGUUUGCCAAUAUAGAACUUGGCCUUGAACAAACACAAAAGCAGGAAGAUUGAUGGUAAUCUCUGGACUACAAAAGGGCCUCCCAAAGUAAAUAAAAGUUUCUGUGUGUUCAUGGGCAGCUGUUGCACUGCAGCUUUUGAUUAAGAGAAAAAUGACCUGGUAGAUUUGUGUUUGGUUGUAAACCUAUAUCACCCGAUACAAUGCGUAAAACCCAUUGAACAAGAUGGGACUCGCUUCUUUGUAGGCACGCAUUGGAUUGCACGGUAAAAGAAUCAGUGCAAAUAUUCAAUAGAACUAAUAUUGUAUAUCACUUCCUGGGGUCCAAGUUCUCUCUGUUUUUCUCCUCCAGAGGGAGGAGCAUUUUUGUUGCAUUGAUUUUCAUCUGACUCUGAAUCUGCUCUUUCUUGUACAUAAGUAUUUGGUUUUCAUUUGAAUUCAUGCAUUUGCACCUUCAACAUUUUUUAUGCCAUGUACUGGAAAGACCUGGGGGAGUUGGGAUAUUGAAACUGGUGAGGUCUAGAAUGAUGAAGUGGCUGAGCUUAUUUUAAAGCGACUGUGCUUUAAAAUAAAGAAAAUAAAAAGAUUCCUGUGGUGAUUUCUUGGAGGGUUAAAGUGGAUUUGUGUUGGGUUUUUUAAAAGGUUGAAGUCAAAUAGUGGACAGUAUAUGAAGUUCUAGGGCUGAUCAACAUAUUUAAGUUUAAUAAGCUACUGAGGUCCCUACAUCUGUAGGUCUUUAAAUACCUCAAAUAUCAAAUGCAAAAUAUAUAACUUAUCACUAAAAUGGAGACUGGAAAAAGCCAACAUGAUACAGGUUUUUUUAAAGGGGCUUGUACAAUAUUAGAACCCAGAUAGCCCAAUAUCUGUUCUGGAUAGACUGGUGUAAAGCAUUGUUAAAGACAGACUUGCUAAGAACAAGGAAGUAUCCAUGUGGUUUCUGCAAAGGGAAGUCCUUCCUUGCCAACCUUUUGGAGGUAUUGAGAGUGUAAUCAAUCCUAUUCAUGUGCUUGGUUUUUUCUCAAACCGAAAGCCUCCACAGAAAAGGUCUGUUUUUGUGUUGGCACCCCCUAAAUCUCUUGUGGGGUAGGUACCUGAAGAAGGGCCUCAGAUUAUGAUUUCAGGGUCUGGGUUGGUUCCUAUGAGGAGAGGAGUGGUAUUGUGGUCCAAAGGCUUAGUAAAUAUUUGAUUGGAUCCCAACUUGCCCUUCCAUUUGCAGAAGAACUCCUGCCAUUCAAGAAAAGGACUGGAAUCCCUUCCCUGUUCUCCAGUAGCAGUUCCCAAUGAGCAGAGCUCUACCCACAGAAACUUUGGAUCCAACCCAUUAUUUAACUGUUUCCAGAAAGGUUUUUGACAUGAGCCCCUUCAUAUGUUCAAAGAGUGUGUAGAGGAAGAAGUACCACUUUUCUUUCUGCCUCCAGUUCUAAGGGGGUGCCAUCCUCCCCACCUCCAAGACAAAAAUCCUAAGGGGAAGCCUAUGUUUGCUAGGUUGUGAGUAGCCAGAAAAGAGACCAUGAUAAAUAGCUGAAUGGACAUGUCGACUUGAUGUGCGGUAAUGAUGUAAAAGGCAAAUUCCAUGCUAGGAAUUGUUAGGAAAGAACCAUUUCGUUUUCAAAAAUUAUAAUGCCUUGAUAUAAAUAUGGUAUUGCCUUCAUAUAAAUCUAUAGCACAGCUACAUUUUGUAAUGCAGAAAGGAGCAACCAGAUUGCCCUCAGGCCCUGCAUUUGAGCUUCCUCAGACAUCUUAUGGGCCACUGUGAGAACAGGAUACUGGACUAGAUGGGCCACUGGUCUGAUCCAGCAGGCCUAUUCUGAUAUUCUUAAUUAGUGAGGUCAGACCAUCUUCCUACCAGGACUGGUGAAAUCAUUUUGAGCCUUUUAGUUCAGGCAAGUGGUUACUGUGACUGUUCUUACAAGUGGACACAUUGAGGCAAACUCAGUAAUUUAUAAUAAUAUAUUUGCUAAGGAGCCAGGCUCCAAUCAUGAAUGGGGAUGAGCUGGGAUUUAUAACUUUGGUAAUGCCAAAGUGAAUAAUACAAAAUUAGGAGGGAGAGAGGAGGAUAUGGCAAUGUUGCUUUUUAUUUAAAAAAAACAGCAACCAUCUUAUUUUGUUUUUUUCAGAAACGAGUAUACAAAGAUUCAUGGAACCCCAGGGUGAGUAAUAUCUUUCUGCUUUAAUUCUGCGAAUGUUCAUUUUUGACACGGACCAUCUAUAAAGCGUUGUUUUCCUAUUUGCCUACUGUGUGCCUGUUUUGGCUGCUCUUGUUGGACACCAGAGGUGGUAAAAUAGGGUACCUGCAGAAACAGGAACCUUGUGGCUGGUAUGUUCUUGUGAGGUAGAAGUACAACUAGACUGCACUUUCAUCUCCAUGAGCCCUCAACAUUUGCUGCAAAGGGUUGCAGAUUGUUAACACGGGUUAACUAUUCCAUUGGGAGUUUAAAUAAUUUGGAAUGAACAUUACCAAGGUUUUCAUCAAAUGUUCUAGAAAAAUCAAUUGAAUAUUCAUUUAUUUUCUUUUUGCUUUAUUGUUCAAAUAUUUGCUUUAUUCAGAUGUUGUUGUUUUGCUUUAGUAUUUUUCCUAAACUGGGUUGCCUUCCCCAAAUCAUGUACAAAGUGAAUCUUUCAACAUAAAAUAUAUGUGGAAAGUGGGGAAUGAGAGUAGCAGCCCAUUAAACAAGCAUUCAGGAUAGCCCUAUAGACCCACAAAAGAAAAGGUAAAUUCCAAAUACAGUAGUACCUCAGGUUACAAACACUUCAGGUUACAUACGCUUCAGGUUACAUACGCUUCAGGUUACAGACUCCGCUAACCCAGAAAUAGUGCUUCAGGUUAAGAACUUUGCUUCAGGAUGAGAACAGAAAUCUUGCUCCGGCGGCAUGGCGGCAGCAGGAUGCCCCAUUAGCUAAAGUGGUGCUUCAGGUUAAGAACAGUUUCAGGCUAAGUACGGACCUCCGGAACGAAUUAAGUACUUAGCCUCAGGUACCACUGUACCUUUUAGGAUUGUGUUGAAAUGAUGUUAGUUCUUGUUGAACAAUAAAGUGUAUGCAGGAUUCCAAGCUUUUAAAGAUAUACUGUAUUUUUCGCUCUAUAAGACGCACAAGACGCACCUAGUUUUUGGAGGAGGAAAACAAGAAAAAAAAUAUUCUGAAUCUCAGAAGCCAGAACAGAAAGAGGGAUCGCUGCGCAGUGAAAGCAGCAAUCCCUCUUGCUAUUCUGGCUUCUGUGAUAGCUGCGCAGCCUGCAUUCGCUCCAUAAGACGCACACACAUUUCCCCUUACUUUUUAGGAGGGAAAAAGUGAGUCUUAUAGAGCAAAAAAUACGGUAUUUCCUGCCAGAGUUCUAUGGCUGUAGAAACUGAAAGACAGGCAGAAAUUCAGAAGGUGUACUGUUCCCCUCACUGUAUUGCUGUGGUGGUAGAAGUUUUGCCUAUUUAGUUUUCUUCUCCAUGCAUUUCAGCUGUUGAAGGGUGUGGGACCUAUGACUCUCCAGCUGCUUUUAGACUCUGGAGGCCAAUGCUCAGGGAUUAUGGGAGUUACAGGUUCCCCGCCCCUGUGUCAAAAGCACAUAACCUCUGGCAGGAAAAGAAAGCAGCAUCCCUAGUAAGUGAAAAUAGCACUCCAAAGGGUAUUACUUUUGGAAAUUAUACAAUUUAUAUGAUUCAGACCUAGGAAGCUGCCUUAUACCAAUUUAGACCAUUGGUCUACCUAAAGCAUUGACUGCUGACAGAUCUCCAUGAUUUCAGACAGGGGCCUUCCCUAGCCCAAUCUGUUUGCACAUAUUUUAUACAAGUAGAUAUUCUGGUCGCAUUCUGCAAGUGCUAUACUUUUCAAGAGAGAAAUCUCAGAAUAGGGAAUCUGGUAAAUUCUCCACUUGAGAAUUCUUAUCAAGAGAGUAAGGUUGUAUUCAUUGGGUUUAUGGAAAUGUUGGUGUAGGAAUAUUGCCACUUACCUGGCAGGUACAUUGGCUUGAUGCAUUGAUGCUGUUUUUACCACCCAGCACAAUGCAGCAACAUCAGGAGGGUGGCUGCACCCCAAUACAUUGGCUUUUGUAAAAUGAUCUGGUGGUUGCCCGUUUUGUUUUGUCUUUUAAAUAGAAUUUGCCUAAAAGUAAAGCUGAAUUAGUGGGACGUGGGUGGCGCUGUGGGUUAAACCACAAAGCCUAGGACUUGCCGAUCAGAAGGUUGGCGGUUCGAAUCCCCGCGACGGGGUGACUGGUCCUAAUGGUCAGGGGUCCCUUUACCUUUACUUAAAGCUGAAUUAAGGGACAAAUCCUAUACACUAGAAACUGCCAUAGAGCAAACCUGGCAUAAAUUAAGCUGGCAUAAAGUUCACCAGAUCCAAACUUCAUUCAGGAGCAGGGCAACAGCUGGUUGAGUUGGUCUAAGCCUGGCAAGGGGGAAACAAGCCUUUGAAAGGUUUCCAGGUCAUGUGGUCAAGCUGAAUGGACUUGGGAUCUGGCCUAAAUCUCUCCCCCACCCCCACUCUAGUCUUGCUCUCCACCACACUCCCAGAACACCCUUUUUUCAGGGCUUACAUGGGUUUAAGAUCCAGGAUGGGGGAGAUAGAUUGGCAUAUCUGGCUGAACUGCAGAUAAAGCAGUUGAGCCAUCUUAGCCUGACGGUGCCAGGAACCUCCCAUCUCAGCCAGAGUUCGUCUGAAUCCUAACCCCACUAAAUCCUGGAAGAUCUUGCAAACAGGAUUGAUCCCUAAAUAAGGAGUGAAACUCAAACAGUAUAAUGUCAUGUUUUGCCUUUAUGUUUUCUGCUCUCUGCAUAAAUGUAAAUCAUAUAUAUAUUUGCCAGUGUUCCAGAAGUGAGGCUUUGAAAUGUCUUUCCAUUCUUCCAACAGAUAAAUCUGCACCUGUCCCACCAGCUCCUGGGUACCCUGGUUCUGCUCCUGGGUACCCUGGAGCACAGCCACCUUAUGGAUACCCUCAGUACCCCCCUGGGCCUGGUCAGUAUGCCCCAGGGCCUGGCCAAUAUCCCGCUGGUUUUCCAGGUAAGCAGUUAUUAUGCACGUAAACUUGUAUUUUACAUUGUUGUGACACUUCCCAACAUCACUUGCACUGAUGCUCUGUAUGUAAAUUCUAUACAUUAAAAAAGCAUCUAUAUAUUUAUUCUAAUGAAUAAAUUUCUAUACCACCCUUCAUAUGAGGACCACAGGGCAGUUCACAAUCAAAAGUACAUGACAUAACAGGCAAAACUAUACCCUCCAGUUUAAAAGGCCAUAGAUUUGUUUAAUAAGCCAAAGGCCUGGGAGAAGAGGGAUGUUUUUGCUGUGCUCCUAAAGAUAUAUCACAAAGGUGCGAGGCAAGCCUCCCAGGCAAGCACUCCACAAAUGGAAAGACACCACACAAAAGGCCCGUUCCUGUGUUUCUACCCUCCAGACCUCUCGUGGAGGGGGACACCUCAGAUGUUGAUCAUAGGGUCCAGGUCAGGACGCAAGGGAGAAACAUGCUAAGAGGAAGGCACGCUUGGGAAAUCCACACCGUGAUCAACUCCCACCCGGAAACCAGUGUCCCCACUGUGGAAGGAUGUGUGGAUCCAGAAUUGGCCUCUACAGUCACUUACGGACUCAUUGUUAAAACCGUGUUUAUGGAAGACAAUCUUACUCAGCUACAAGUGAUCGCCAGAGAAGAAGAAGAUAUGGGAAGAGGCGAUCUUUGAAAUAUUGCAGUCCUGAGAUGGCUUUAUAGGUCAAAACCAGCACUAUGAAUUGGGCCCAGAAACUGUUUGGCAGUCAGGCCAGGGUUGGUGUUAUGUGCUCAAACCGUCUUGCCCCAGAGAACAACUGACUAUUGAAUGCUGCACCAGCUGAAGUUUUUGAACCAUCUUCAGAGGCAGCCCCUUGUAUAAUGUAUUGCAGAAAUCGAACCUAGAGGUGACCACAAUAUAGACCGCAGGUGUUAGGCUAUCCCGGUCCAGAUAAGGGCCAAAGCUGAUGGGAAGCACUCUGCAACAUCAAGGCCACCUGAGCAUCAGGUGACAGCAAUGGACCCAGAAGUACCUGCAAGCUAAGGACCUGCUCUUUCAGAGGGAGUAUAACCCUAUCAAGAGCAGGCCACCUUCCAUGGAUUUGGUUAAGGGAACCACCCACUAACAGUGCCUCAUGAGCCUUGCCGAUCAGAGGGUUGCGGUUCAAAUCCCCGCUACAGUGUGAGCUCCGGUUGCUCUGUCCCAGCUCCUGCCAACCUAGCAGUUCGAAAGCACAUCAAAGUGCAAGUAGAUAAAUAGGUACCAGUGCGGCAGGAAGGUAAAUGGCAUUUCCAUGCACUCUGGCUUCCGUCACGUUGUCCCGUUGCUCCAGAAGCAGUUUAGUCAUGCUAGCAUGAUGUGGAAAGCUGUCUGUGGACAAGCGCCGGCUCCCUCGGCCUGAAAGAUGAGCGCCACAACCCCAUAGUCGCCUUUGACUGGACUUAACCAUCCAGGGGUCCUUUAGCUUUUUACCUUUACCUCUCGGCAAGUCAUUACUGAGGCAGAACAACGAUCCAGCACAUCCACUGCCUCAUCUGCAGAUGUAACGGAGAAGCAAAGCUUGACCAUAGAAAUUUAGACCAUUUGAGGAAAGGUCCAUAUUCUGUUCAGCUUCAUGUUUUGGUCUCAGUUCAGGAUUUCUUUUGGUGGACCUGUUCUGGGUCUCCAUACAGUGUUACUACGUAUGCAUAAAAUGAAACAGAAAGCAUUUCUCCACCAGCAGAAAAUAUAUUCUGCCCAAAGUCCUGUAUUUGUAAGAAGCAAAAUGUUCCUGUAUUGAAAUGAAUCUAAAUUAUGGGCUCAUUACGCUUUUGAAUGGAAACUGGUGAGGGGUAUGUUGGUUUGUGUUUGCCAUGCAUACAAAGCAACAGCAGGUGCUUUUUUAAAAAAAAGAAAGAGAUUGUUCAUCUAUUUUCCCAGUCUGCAUGUGCCCUGCAAAUGCUCUGUGCAGGCUCUAGUAGUAGAUCAUUAGCUUCCUUGUGUUCAAGCUAAUCCUAAAAUCUGUGGACACACUUGAUAACUAUUCCCAUUGAAUUUACCUCUCUGGGGUAACCGCAAGACAUUUUGGUGGUUGAAGCUGAAAAUACAAAUUGCUCUUAUUAAUAUAGGACACAAUCUGUAUGGUUCUGUAGUUCUUUAACAUCAGUCUCAUCAAAGCAAGUGGGGUGGGCUGUUGCUGAUUGUUCUAGAUGUUCUAUAUUGUCAGAAAAGAGACUUUUGUUUUUAAUUUUGAAACUAUGAUUGAAUUAAAGGACAGCUCUUUUAAUGCUGUAGCCUGUGUCCAUUUCUUGCUUACGAAAAUGCCCACAAAGGAGAACGCAAAUGAAUGGUAGAACCUCAUGGCUUCUCAGAUAUUCUGCCAAUACUUUACAGAGGGAGUGGAAAAUCAGAAGCAUAUAAGAAAAUCAGUUCUUGGGCAUAUAGAGUUGUAAUGUUAUCACCUGAAGUCUUUCAGUCUGUCCAUACACCAUGGCUGGCUAUUUUUUUAUUUAUCUUCAGACUAAUUUCUUCUUCUUCUUCUUCUUCUGCUGCUGCUGCUGCUUCUUCUUCUUCUUCUUCUUCUUCUUCUUCUUCUUCUUCUUCUUCUUCUUCUUCUCCUCCUCCUCCUCCUCCUCCUCCUCCUCCUCCUCCUCCUCCUCCUCGUCUUCCUCCUCCUCCUCCUCCUCCUUCUUCUUCUUCCCCUCAACUACAUGGACUUUAUGUUUGCUAACCUAAUUUAAUAAAUCUAAAGCUGCUUUAAUCCAUUCAAUGCUGUCUGAACAUAUUUCUUAUUUGUUUGUUUGUGUGAUUUGAUUUACAUACUGCCCUCCAUCAGAAUAUUUCAGGUGGGUUCACAUGGCUAAGUUGCAGAGUUCAGGCCCUGUGCAGCAGUGCUAUUUAAGUAAGAACAGCAAUAAUAGCAGUGGGAGAGGUACUCUUUUGCCUCUAACAAAGCUCUUCCGAAUCCCAUUAAUUCCGCUGGCACACUGCGUAAUGCAAGAUGAUGUUAAUGUGAAUGAUGGUCCCUUCUGAUGCAGGCCUUUAAAUUAAAACAAUGAAAGGGAUGUGUUUAUCCCUUGGAACAUGCGUGCAUCCAGCUUACGCAUCCGUUAGAUCAUUUGAACUUGAAAAGCCAUGCUGGGAAGGCAGUACACAAUUGCUUCCCUGAUUGCAGUUGCAGAAAGGUCACCUUGUGCAAACCGAAGGAUGAUGCUCGUGGGGCGGGGUAUGUUGGGCAUGGGAUGGGGCAAAGACUGCUGAUUAGGCAGGGUUGUAAGGGCCACAGUUCAGCCAUCAAUUGCGUGUUUUGCUUGCACAAAGUCCAUAGUCGAGGCACUUUUUGCUUUUAGAUUGAUUUUCAUUUUAAACUUUAAGAAAGGUUUUGUGCCAGAGUGGAUUUGAUCUAAAUCAAAUUGAUUUAAAUCAAAUUGAUGUAUUUCCUGCCUGUGUUGCUGUCCCUUCCCUUCUGUUAACACCUUCCUGCCCAGCAUAUGUUCCUGAAACCUGAGAUCCAUUGGGGGCAUGCAGGAAGGUAUCUGUUUACUCUGCCUCUCUCCCUCCUUCUAUGUGUGUAUGAAAUACAAGUUUCUUUUUAUAGACCAGAUUUGCAGAAAAGUGCAGGGCUUGGUUGUUUCUUAAAAAGCUGUAUCACUCCAAGCCCAGCAAGGAUUUGGAGCAUGGGCAGGCAGACUAAGGCCUGGGGGCCAGAUCCGGCGCAGUCGCUUUCUCAAUCCAGCCCAUGGACAGUCUGGGAAUCAGUGUGUUUUUACAUGCAUAGAAUGUGUCCUUUUAUUUAAAAUGCAUCUCUGGGUUAUUUGUGGGGCAUAGGAAUUCGUUCUCCCCCCAAAAUAUAUAAAUAUAUAUAUAUAUAGUCUGGCCCCCACAAGGUCUGAGGGACGGUGGACCGGGCCCCUGCUGAAAAGGUUUGCUGACCCCUGAUUUGGAGUAACUUUCAUGAAAGGCUGCUGCUUCCUUUCCUCUCUUUUAUUUUCCGUCCCACCUCCAGUACCAGCAAGGGCCAAUUGUAUUUAAAUUUUCAAUAAUAAUAAUAAUAAUAAUAAUAAUAAUUUUGUAUUAUUUAUACCCCGCCCAUCUGGCUGGGUUUCCCCAGCCACUCUGGGCAGUUUCCAACAGAAUAUUAAAAUACAAUGACCUAUUAAACAUUAAAAGCUUCCCUAAACAGGGCUGCAUUCAGAUGUCUUCUAAAAUUCUGGUAGUUGUUUUUCUCUUUGACAUCUGGUGGGAGGGCAUUCCACAGGGCGGCUGCCACUACGGAGAAGACCCUCUGCCUGGUUCCCUGUAACUUGGCUUCUCGCAGUAAGGGAACCGCCAGAAGGCCCUCGGUGCUGGACCUCAGUGUCCGGGCAGAACAAUGGGGGUGGAGACGCUCCUUCAGGUAUACUGGACCGAGGCCAUUUAGGGCUUUAAAGGUCAGCACCAACACUUUGAAUUGUGCUCGAAAACGUACUGGGAGCCAGUGUAGGUCUUUCAAGACCGGUGUUAUAUGGUCUCGGCAGCUGCUCGCAGUCACCAGUCUAGCUGCCACAUUCCCCACAUUAAAUGGGGAGCGCCCUUUGUGUGGUCGCACGCAGCCCCCUGGACCCUAUGCAUCACCAUUAGCACAGGCUUGGCUUUGCCUUCCCCAGUUGGGAUACCUGGAGGUCUCCGCCUACCUCAGCCAGUUACCCAAUCGCGCCUGGGGAGGCGUUGCCAAGGUGAUCAGGCCAAGGUAGGGGGUGGGACCACCCUGCGACACAAUAAGGGGAGGAUCUUACCUGGGAAUCAUCAGUUAGCUCCAGAGCUUCUCCCACCCUACCCACCCUCAGUUAAGACUUCUUUUGCAGGUUAACCUUUUCUUCACAGGUACGCGGGGCGCUGCUACGUCAAGGUCGCUGUUGAAGGGCCGGAAAGGAAUUCUCCUGCAUUGGCAGGUUUGCCUUUCCCGUAGCAAAACGUCACAACUUUGGCGGUAUCAGGCCUUGGGCGGAAUCCUUUAGUCUAUCUUCCCUAAAUGGGGGUGGGCGUGUAGCAGUGACCCACGCACCCUUCUCUUUGUGGUGGCGAUCCCAGGGUUCCCCGUUAAAGGGGUUGUUUUGAGGGAAGGCUUUGGCCAUAUGCCUAGAGGUUGUCAUUGCUCUCCCCUGUGACGGGGGCAUAACGGGGGCGGGCUCUCUCUGCUUGAACAUAUGUUCUCCAGAACCAGCCCAUUCCCCCCCACACACUCUAGAUAACCCUGAUGUUCCCCAGAUCCCCGGCAGGGGACUAGGAGGGAUAAACACCCAAUGUCUGAGCCAAGGUCUACCCACAUGUGAAACAUAAUAAAGUUGUGACCAAUUCUUAAUCCCAUAGCACGUUGUCUUGAGUCGUUAUUCCACACGGAGUCCACCCAGGUUUGGGGGACUCUGACUGUCCAUGCAAUAAAGCACAGCUGGCUUGUGUGAAUGCUGUUCUGUGCAAAAGAGCUGUUCUAAAAACAUAAGAUACCACAAAUGUGCCUUCAACAACAAAUGGCGGGACCAGAGCAUUGCAGGACUACCUGCUUUCAGACUGCUUCUGAGUCUUGCUUCUGAGUAGACACCUACUCACAGAACUGUGAGUCCGGUAUGCCCCAAUAUGUGGCUCUUGCCAGGAAAAAAAAUGCAUUGCAUUGCCAAUGGUGCAAUCGCAUGCACAUGUUUUCUAAUUUCUGUGUAAUGCUGCAGAGGGAGAGCAUUUUCUUUUACUUGUUUGUUAUAUUCACACCCUACGUUUUCAUUUAAAAAAUGCCAUGGUUGGAAUUUAAUGUAAAUUAUUGAACCAAAUCUGUUAGUGUAGGGGUUUGUUUUUUUUAAAGAUUUGUAUAAUACAAAAGGUAAAAAUUGUCAUUUUGCAUUCCCCUUCCAAGGUGCUCCUGGACAGCCACCCUACGGAUUCCAGCCUGUUCAGCAAGCUUAUGGAGUUCCCCCAGUUGCAGGCCAGCCCAAUGGACCUCCUGGUGCUAUGUGGAUGCCAGCGCCACCUUCAAUUCCCAAUUGCCCUCCUGGAUUGGAAUAUUUAAGCCAGGUACUUCUCUUUAUGUCCAGCUUCUUCAGGAAAGCAUACAAGUAAUACUUCAGUGAUGCUACACGAUUUUUUCUCCCCCAUAGAUCCAAUCGCAUGUAGGGAGAUGCGAAAGCAUUUGGGAACCAUUUAAUAACCAUUGAAAUUGCUCCUAAAUGUUGAAAUAUAUAUUCAAAGAGGUACAAAGGGGCAUUUUUUCCUAACUGGGGCUGGUAUUUGCCACUGCCAUCGCUCGUCACCCGAAGAAUCAGCAGUUUGCAAAAAUGAAACUUGAGACUCAAAAGGUACACAUACUUCACAUGUGUGCAGCCACGUGUACAUCUCUCCCCCUCACGUACACACAUUUCUCUCACACAGACCACACACACGUGCAAAACUCCCCACACUCUCGCUCGCACAUGUACCCCGUUCUUCUCUUCCCAAGUGUAUCUCUCCCUCUGUCCCUCCCUUCUUGCCCAUAUGCAUUUUUCUCCAUUGCACAUGCAUGGAGCAUGCUCGAGCAGCUCCCACAGAUUCAGAAAAGCCCCUCCACGGGUGAAGGAAGCCCCUUCCAAACAAACAACAACAAAACCCCACAAAAAUCAGUUGUUCAGAAAUUAAGUCCCCCAAAAUACAAGGGCCACCAGCCCUGAUUUAGAGACUUUUCACCAUAUGGAGGGUUACCUGACCACAUGAAGGGGCUUAUGAAUUCCAUUUGCUGAUUUGUGAAAUUUCUUAGCAGCAUUAUAUUUGCUCUAUAACUAUAAGCAACUGUAGUUACUUUCCAGAUCUAAAUUUUGACACAUUUGCCAGGAAGCAAAUUAUAUUGAUUGGUUUUUGCUUUUCUUCAUUGAAGAGGAUUCUAAAUUUAUGUGUUUCAAAAUGCAAGGAAUACCUAAAACAGCAGUCCCUCGGGUUUUGUGAAUAAUGUAAACAGGUUGCAAGAUAAUUACUUGUGUAAUUUUAUUAUUAUUUGCCAGUUUUAACAUGUUGGGUUUUUUUAAUCCCUGUCAUAGAUUGAUCAGAUAUUAGUUCAUCAGCAGAUUGAGCUCCUGGAAGGUACGUAUCUUAUGCUACUUAAUAUUGUUCAUGCAUUGAAAGAUAUUUCAGAUAAUUAUGCCUCAACUGAAGUUGAUAUUCAGUGUGUUUACUACAGGGUGAGGAUUGGAUGGUUGGACUUUAUUUUAUGGUGUUGCUGGAGAAACACCUGUUUUUAAAAAUAUGUGACUUAUGAAAUUCAAUUUGUAAUUAACCAAACAUACAUGUAUAUAAAAGAGAAUGUGAUUUAUAGCCAAUUAGGAUUCAUAGAAUUGUAGAGUUAAAAGGGAUCCCCAGGGUCAUCUAAUCUAAUGCAGGAAUCACAGCUAAAGAAUUCCUGAUUGCUUUGGUGGUUAUAUGUAUCAAGGUAUAGUUCUGACAGGGAACAGUUUACUGCAGGGGUGGCUAACCUGUGCCCUUCCUGCAAGAUGUUGUUGGAUUCCAAUUCCCACCAGACCCAGCGUGACCAGUAGUAGUAGUAGUAGUAGUAGUAGUAAUAAUAAUAAUAAUAAUAAUAAUAAUAAUAAUAAUAAUUUAUUAUUUAUACCCUGCCCAUCUGGCUGGGUUUCCCCAGCCACUCUGGGCGGCUUCCAACCAAAUAUUAAAAACAACACAGUGUCAGGCAUUAAAAAUUUCCCUAAACAGGGCUGCCUUCAGUUGUCUUUUAAAAGUAAAAUAGUUGUUUAUUUCCUUGACAUCUGAUGGGAGGGCGUUCCACAGGACAGGCACCACUACUGAGAAGGCCCUCUGCCUGGUUCCCUGUAACCUCACUUCUCACAGCGAGGGAACCACCAGAAGGCCCUCAGCGCUGGACCUCAGUGUCCGGGCUGGAUGAUAGGGGUGGAGAUGCUCCUUCAGGUAUACAGGACCGAGACAGUUUAGGGCUUUAAAGGCACUUUGAAUUGUGCUCAGAAACGUCAGUAAGUUAUGGGACUUGCAGUCCAGCAACAUCUGCAGAGCCCUAAGUUCCCCAUCCCUGGCUUAUGCUACACAGAAAUAGCCAACAGUGUGGUUUUUGAGGGCUGGGGGUGGGAAUAACUAUUGCUUUCAUGUCAGUCCCUUUCUGUUAAAGACUUAAGUCCACACCAAUACACGUUUCACACUUGAUUUGUUCAAAUGGACAAAAAAUUCAUUGUUUUAAGAUCUCCUCAGGCAUUACAAGAAUGAGGAAGUUACCACAUAGGAGAUUGAGCAGUGGGGAGUGCCCAGGAAACCUCUGUGACUCUGGGUGGCAUCCUGCUUCACUUAGAGAAGCUGUUUACACAGGCCUGGCUGACCAUACUGUUUAGCCAGGACCAGUGGAUGCACCUCUGCUCCCUCUUCCCAGUACUGCAUUCACUGAAUCUGAAUAAGUCUUGUAAACUAAGCUUUUGUGUCUUCAGGGGUGGGAAAAUCACAGGAUCUUCUUGAGGGCCAAAGUGGUGACAUGCAGCUGUCAUCACACAGGACUGCUUUGCAUCCAGUAGAAGUGGUAUCUUUGUAAUCCUGGUAGAACUUGCCUAAUGUUGUGACAUUAUGAAGUUCUUCAGGUUUUUCCUGCCCCACAACAUGGGGCUGGAAUUGGGAAGGGGGCCGUAGCUCAGCGGGGAAUGCAUUUGGAUCAAAAGAACUGGACUUCUCUUCCUUCUCUUUCAGUACUCACUGGCUUUGAAACAGCCAACAAAUAUGAAAUAAAAAAUGCAAUGGGGCAAAGGGUGUACUUUGCAGCCGAGGAAAAUGACUGCUGUACACUGAACUGCUGUGGAACAUCCCGGCCAUUUACAAUGAAAAUCCUUGACAAUGUGGGUCAGGAAGUCAUUGAGCUCAGGCGACCUCUCAGGUGCUCCAGUUGUUGCUGUCCUUGCUGUUUGCAAGAGGUAAAUGGCUUCUUGCUCCUUGAGUCCUUUAGCUUGUCUCAGUUUAAAACCACCAAGAUGUGGAUAUUUAUUUGGGGUGCUUUCUCAUUUCUCUGACCGUGUGAGAUGCCCCUCCUUAAAUUCUUACACUGGCUUCCUGUCCAGCUCUAAUUUCCUCAGGUGAGAAGAAGAUCCCUGCUGGUUCAGGCCAGUAGCUCAUCCUGCUCUCACAGUGGCCAGCCAGGUGACCAUGGAAAGCCCCAAAUCCAAGACCUGAGUGCAACAUUUGAAAUCCCCAGCAACUGGAAUUCAGAGGCAAAGGGCGUCUGACAGCCAUUGCCACUAUUAGCCGCUGAUAGCCCUUCUCCUCCAUGAAUUUGUCCAAUCCUCUUUUAAUGUCUUCAAAGUUGGUAGUUAGUGAUACACUGUGAGAAGGAAGUGCUUUCUUAAGUUCUCACCCUUAUUAUUAGUUGCAUUUGUUGGUUGCUUUGUACAAAAAACAACAACGUGUGGAAGUAACUCAACAAAUAUAAAAUGAACAGAUGAAAUAACUUAAAACCCAUAAAAUUUAAAAAGUCAUGUACCUUUGAGGCUAACUUAACCACUAAAAACUUGGGUUAAUAAAAAAUGUCUUUGCCUGGCACCAGGAAACUAUGGGGCCAGACAUAUUGUCCUGGGGAGAGGAUUCCACAUAUGGCAGGGUUUGGGGGUGGGAGGGAGGAGACACUACUGAAAAAGGCCAUGCUCCUAUAGUCACCCUUGGAUGACACAGAGAGAGAAGGGCCUCUAAUGAAGGCUGCAGGGUUUGGGGUGGUUUUUAUGGGGAGAGGGGUUCCUUGAGGUACUGGGGUUCCUGAGCAACAUAAGCCUUUGUUACGUUAAAACCAACUCUUUGAACGGAGCCCAAACAUUAAUUGGUAGCCAAUACAGUUGCUUUGCUUGAACAUGUCUUUGCCACAGAUUUUGCGACUUGGCUUAAAAAAACUGAAGCACCUCCUUCUGACUCAGCUCUGUUUGUUCCUUGUUUUUUUUAGCUGGAAGUUCAUGCCCCACCAGGCACACCGGUUGGUUAUAUUAAACAGCUCUGGGAUCCCUGUCUACCUAAAUUUGCUAUCCAAAAUGAAGCCCAAGAAGAAAUACUGAGAGUCGUCGGGCCCUGCAUAGUAUGCAGCUGCUGUGAAGAUAUUAACUUUGAGGCAAGUUAACAAUAGGACCGUGUCCUGUGAAAUUUUAUCACGUUGGCCAGGGGCCUGCAUCAUGGCACAGCCAUCGUGUCUACUUGUUGUUUAGCAUUGGGAGAAAUCUAGUAAUCUGUAAUCUGGUGUUGCCAGUUCAUGGAGAAGCAAGUUAACCUGUAGUGUUAACUUGUUUUCUGUAUUUUUUACCCUGAGGCUGUAGAGAAGUGGCCUCCACCAUUGGCUGGGAGACCAAAAAAACAAAAACACUGGGAGGCUGCACACUCUGUCUCCCUUCAACAAGUUAUAUAAAAUGUUGACAUUAGCCUCAUGCCUUUUAAAUACUUUGCAAAUGUGAAGAUUUAAAAUGUCUUAAGUUUCCAAUUAUAAUGAUCUCUUUUUUAAAAACAACAACUAGGUCAAGUCAAAAGAUGAGAAAAACAACGUUGGAAGAAUUUCCAAGCAGUGGACUGGCUUUGUGAGGGAGGCCUUUACAGAUGCAGACAACUUUGGAAUCCAGUUCCCACAAGACCUCGAUGUUAAAAUGAAAGCCGUCAUGAUUGGGGCUUGCUUCCUCAUAGUGAGUCUGAUAGUCUCAAAUGUUGUGCCAUUGGGAAUUUUGGAGUCUAAUUUAAUGGACUUUAUAUGUAUGCUCCUUACAGGGCACUUUGAGUCCUGUAGGACUUUCUGGUUCCUUUUGGCUGAUAAGGACAGUCAUGUAAAGUUCCCAAGUGCCUUGUGUUAAUUAAAGAGCUGCAGACAUUUGCUGGCGCUUCUUGGAAUGAUUAUUGGCAAUUUUAGCUUUGGCGCAAGUCAUUGCUUUCAUUGCUGCAGCACUGAGUGGCAUGCAUCCAGGAGGUAGAUGGAGGAAGGAAAGCCAUGCUAAAUCAAAUUAAAUAUUUAAGGUGAUGAAAUCUACCAGAUUGUUCAAUCUACUCAGGUCACUUCCAGGUUGUUGCAUUUUUCAGGUGGGAUUCAGUCACAUACUGGCAGAUUUGGGUUGUGCAAUUAAAGUAGAUUUGGAGUUAUUGCACAACAAACCUGCUCCCCCCCCCCUCAAAAAAAAAGUUUGUCUCCCUGUGAACAAAUCAGGAUGAAUGCCAAACAGACAGGUUGUCUGGAAGCAACCGAAAUUGCAGCUUAAUGACACAGUGCCAGUUUUUACAAACAUGGAAGCAGGAAAAUGAUGAACAUAAAAGAGCCCAGUUGGAUCAGACCAAAGGUCUAACUUGCCCAGGUUUAUGUUCUCACCUAUGUGAAGCCCAUAAGCAGCACAUGAGUGCAAUAGCAUUGUCUCUCAUUUAUAUUCCCCCGUGGCUAGUAUUUGGGAUCUCUUUGAUCCUGGAGGUAAUAAAGGUCUAUCUUGAUUAGUAACCAUUCCUUCUAAUGACUUUCCUCAUUAAAAUGGCAUUGGUUUUCAAAAACUUCUGUAAAAUGGAAUAAGUAGAAAAGUAUCUGAAUAUUGGUUUGCAGUUGCCUAACUGCUGUCUGUUUUGUUUGGUCUCUGUCCCCUCCCCCCCUCCUUUGUAGGAUUUCAUGUUUUUCGAACACUCUGGACAAAAUCGGCAGCAGCGAGCUGGGGUCUGGUAGCAGAGCAGAUUUCUGGAUUAUAAAUACUUCUGAGAAAGCCUUCAUCCUCAUGUCACUUCUAGUCUUGCCUCGCUAUCAUUGUCAAGCCUGCUUUGAAGGAUUCCCCCACCACACACACACACAUUAAAACUACUUAUUUUUGUAUUGUGAUUGCAGCUUUCACACCUAUGUUGGAAUAGUCCCAUUUAUUAGAGGCUGCUCAAUUCUUGAAAUAUAUACUGAUUUUAUUUUUUUAGUUUUUGAUAUAUAUAUAUAUAUAUAAAAUAUAUACUUUUGGUGCGAGAUCCUUCUUUGUGUAUGUGCCAGUGCUCAGAGAGUAAACUGCAUUUUGUGUGAAGAAAGGGGCAGUAUCUGUAACUUGUGGCUAUUAAUUAAGGCAGGGAUUCAUAUCUGUUCUUUGUAUGUAGGGCUAAUAUACUGCUAAACUUUUGUUUUGUUUUGAGCCAAGAAUACUGGACUGCAACUCCCAUCAUCCCUGACCAAUGGUCAUGCUGACUGGUGCUCUUGGGAGUUGUGAAUCCACAACAUCUGGAGGGUUUCCAUCCCUUCCCUAGUAACUAAGGAGCUGAUGCCAUACCUCCCAAGUGCCUGGGGUUUUCCCUGCUGAUGUUCGGUGUUCCCAGUGCAAAUGCAAACAUUUUAUGUAUUGCUUCUAUAAUCUCCAGUCCAAGAUUGGGACUCAUGAACCUGCAUCUGGAAAUUUAGAUGCAGCACCCACGAACCAGUGCCUGGAACUUAAACGCAUGCCUUGCUCCCACAACUUGUAUAUUUGCUGUAGAAAACACCAAAGCCUUCACUCAGCAGUCAUAACAUAUAGUGCUGCCAACAUGAGUUACUGAGGGAAAUGGGGGCGUGAAGGAAAGAUGGAUUUACCAAUCAGAGGGUGCUAUUUAACCAAGUCACACUUGGAACAGACCCAGCAAAAUCAUUCACCUUACGUUAUGACUGUUGUUGAAUAUCAAUCAGAAUGUAUGUAAGAAACUGUAUUAAGUGGUCCAAUGUUUUAGGGGUAGCAAAUAGCUCCUUCCAAAAACAAACUCUUGCUAUGUUAUGGUGCCUAUAUAGCCAAAGAGGGGCUACGAAAGGAGAAGAGAGGGAGAUAUUAAAGGUUUGCAGAUAUAGAAAAAAUCAUGAGGGGGGGGGAAUACCCUAAGAGAACCCCCCCCCAUUUGAUUUCUUUUUUUAAAAAGCACUAUGCUCUGUAGUCAGAAAAUGCCAAGUGCCUGUAUGGGGGGGGGGGGUGAAAGAAUUAUCCUGACAAAAGGCAAAGCUAUAUGGCUGGAGCACUCAAUACUGCAACAAUUGGUUGCAGAUUGUACCUCACACAGAAAUAGAUGAUGCUGUUGUAUUUUUGACUGAAUUUCGAAAAGGAAAGGAAAAAAAUGUGUUAGCCUUUAUAUGUAUGUGUGAAAAAUUAAAUUAUAAAGACACAUAAAAAUGAAUCUG
Molecule: non-coding RNA, 22796 nt
Organism: Podarcis lilfordi (Lilford's wall lizard)
Lineage: Eukaryota; Metazoa; Chordata; Lepidosauria; Squamata; Lacertidae
Source: the annotation of a GenBank genome assembly